UCCCUGUGGAUAGCUCAGUCGGUUGAGUGUGAGGCUCCUAAUCUUAGGGCUGUGGGUUUGAGCCCUGCAUUGGGUGAA
This is a non-coding RNA of Podarcis lilfordi (Lilford's wall lizard), 78 nucleotides long. NCBI's taxonomy places the organism in Eukaryota, Metazoa, Chordata, Lepidosauria, Squamata, Lacertidae. The record is from the annotation of a GenBank genome assembly.